AUCCCUCCCGAGCACGCCACCGCCUCUGCUCGCAACUAUCCUGAGAACACUGCCGCUGCUGUCACCUCGGAUCUACCAACUCCGCCUCCACAGGUGAGCCACCUCCGCUCGCAUCUUGUAGAUUGAAUCAGACACGAGUAGUUUCUUGUAGAUCGAAUUCGGACUUUGAUCCGUGUAGCCCACCGGCAAAACGUCAAGGGCGUGCGCCGGCUCGGCGUUGCGGCGGCUGUACCCCUCGAUGUGUGCUCUCUGCGACGUGAACCUCUGUUCCUCCACACCUGUACCCCUUCCCCAUGGUUGGGCCACACGCUGGACUAGGAGCAUGCCCCUACGCCACCUUCCAACAAGGGGAUGGGUUAAAUUCUAUAUCUCUUCCUCAUGUCUUGAGCACAAGGGGCUAGGUUAAAUUAUGGUGAAAAUCAAGUAGGAGUUAGGAUUUGGAGCUGUUUUUUAAUUUCUGAAGGAAGAACAUAUGUUCUCCAAAGUGUUUCUGAAUCCUUCUGUCUUUAAAUAUUAAAAUUGUUAUCUCUUCAAAUUUCAAGUAGGAGUUGAAAUUACUCGGCUGUAUGUAUAUAUGUUGAGGCCUCAGUGCUGCUAGAAUAUACCUGGUAGGGGUUUUGGACCAAGGGUUGAAUCCUAGAUGAAUUAGGGUUACUGUUAGUCGUCAUGACAGAUUUUUUGUUGAAAAAUGUUUAACAGGUGAACUAAACUUAGACUCUAAUUAAUGUCUUUAUUAAUCUGAAUAAUAGCCAAGAUCACAUUUUUCCUCGUCAUGCUAGACUAGACCUACCUACAACAGCUAUACCAGUUGUAGUUGUCAGCUCAUGGAAGCACAAUAGCUAAAACCAGAUACUAACACAAGUUUUCCUCAUCUUGAACUGCAAUAGUUUUCUGUAUCUUGAACUGCAAUUGUCAGCUCAUGGAAGCACAAUAGCUAAAACCAGAUCCUAACACAAGUUUUCCUCAUCUUGAACUGCAAUAGUUUUCUGUAUCAAGUUUUUUUAUCUGUUAAAUGUUAGUAUAUCACAAUGUGAUCAAAACAAUAAAAUUCUUCAUAUCCUUUAGUUCGUAUUGUACUGAUCACUAUUUAGAGCAAGUUCUGAAAAUGUCAAAUUAUAUUGCUUCCAGCUGUUUUCGGUCUCUUGUUCAAUUAGGUACUAUUAGUCAUGUAUCUUGCCUUCGAAACUGUAUCCUCAGCUUAUGUUCUGUAUAUUCUCUAUUUCUUUCUUUCAAGAAAAAUGUGUAAUGAAAAGUAGUAUUAUGUUUUAAAAUAUAAUGGCUUUCAGUGACAUGUAUAUUCGUUACUUGUUUUUGAGUUUUGACACACUAGAAUCUCUCUAAUGUUGUGUAUUGAUUAUUUCUCUUGAUAUAUUGAUUACACCUACUGCUACCACCAGACACCUACCAACUGUUUUGGAGCUUGCUGGUAAGGAUCAUUGCGAAACUUGCUACAAAGUACCAACUGUUUGCAUACUCAAGAUUAGUGGUGAGUAGUCAUUGUCCAUGCAUAUAUAUAUUUAAUUAAUCAAUCGAUUGUUGCCAUUACUACAGGUUAUAGCUUUACUGUGACUUGUUCUUCUUGUGUCUAGGACGAAAUCUCGUGUGUUUGUAUAUGUGGCAGUUUGGCUCCCAUGUUUGUAUGAAAGACUGCUGCACUCUGUCAUGUGCCGCUGACUUUUAUUAGUUUUAAUUAUCAUGGCUAGAUGCACUUAUAUUCAUACGACAAUUAUCAUGUCAAUUUUUUCUAUCAUAUCAGUCGUCAAGGAUUUAUUUUUCUUUCAAUCUCUACUAGUGUCUGUUUCAAAAAUAUUAUCAGUAAGUCGCAUGAUUUUUAUUACAGCACACUAAAAGCAUUAAUAUUACUAGGUUGAUGCCCUUGUUAUCAAUAUAGUUGUUGAUUGAUCUGUUAGAUUUUCUAAAUAUUUCCUAUUUUUCUUUGAUUUUUUAUGAUUUUUUGAAGUAUUUUGUCUCAAGAGGGGUUUUUAGCCCCUUGGUUGCCAAACAGUGGCAGGGAAAUACAAUGGGGGUUAUGAUUACUUGAAUUCUGUCAUUUGUUUUAGUAAUUAUGUGAUCUGCAAUUAAUCUAGCACAAGCACAUUCAAAUUGACCAAUUUCUACUAGUGCUAUUACUUUAUCCCGAAUGGAUGGCUUCCUUCCGAAAAGACUAGUUUCACUAGUUUGGCCUAAUAGGUAUUGAUCUAUGGUAUCUAGACUACAUAUUGUACUAUAUGGUAUUGAGCUAUGGUAUCUUUGGUCAUUGAUUAAUUAUAUGCCCACCACUAUUGUAUUGCUCUUGUUACACUGUAGUGUAUGCUUUGUCACUUGAAUGAGAUUUGGUUUUAUGAAAGACACUUCUGCUUGAGGUAAAAUAGGUUUUCCAAUCUGUGAUAGAAUAUUAAGUGUUUCAUGAGCCACCCAGCUGCCUAAGAUUUGUUUUCUUUCCCUGUGGUUAUUUUUGUCUUUGCUCACAGUGCAUUUUGAGAAGGAUAAGGCUUUGGCUCGCAGAUUCCAGCCAGUAUUGGUGAAUGAGCCUAGCCAGGAGGACGCUGUCAAGAUAUUACUUGGUCUGCGUGAGAAAUAUGAGACUUACCAUAAAUGCAAAUACACUUUAGAAGGGAUCAAUGCAGCAGUUUACUUGUCAGCAAGAUACAUCCCUGACAGGUAUCUUCCUGAUAAGGCUAUUGAUCUGAUAGAUGAAGCAGGCAGUAGAGCUCAGAUGGAAUCAUUUAAAAGGAAGAAGGAAGAACAAUGCUCCAUUCUCUCCAAGUCACCAGACGAAUAUUGGCAAGAGAUUAGAGCUGUUCAGAGUACACAUGAAGUGGUAAUGCAAUGUUCAUGGUAGAGCAGUUGCAACUUGCAAAUGUUUCAUAUACUAGUGGAUGUUUAUAAUUCACUGUACAUCACAUUUCAGGCGCUGGCUAACAGGUUGAAGUAUUCUCUUGAUGAGAAUGACAAAGAGGAUGGUGUUAAUAUUGAAGUCAUAGGGGACAACAAGAUUGCUUCGCCAUCGAUGCCUCCAACUUUAGUCGAUGAGUAGGUUCCCUCGUGUCACGUCAUACAGACGAAGGCUGGCAGCACCGUGACUGAAGGACCAGUAGUGGUCAAUUCUGCACCUAUAGCAGACGCUAGCACUGGGUCAUCUCCUGUCACUACUAGGCCCAGACCUCAGUCACCAUACCCUAAUUAUCCAGAUUUCAAGCCACCAUCCUCGCCUUCGCCGUCAGCACCUUAAUUUGGCAAGAGUACAAGAAACCGGGUCUAGAGGAUAUUAAAGAAGUUGAGUUGUUCAUAUGGAGCUGGCAUCUCACCAGAGGUGUAUGUUGUAUUAUGAGCGUGACAGUGUGGCUAAGUCACUGUGGCAAGUUUUCUGCAGCAGUAAAUAUAUGAGGAUGCCAAG
This is an RNA transcript of Zea mays, 3397 nucleotides long. RefSeq lists it as uncharacterized. The record is from RefSeq and is a predicted model, not a curated record. The transcript has 3 exons. Lineage: Eukaryota; Viridiplantae; Streptophyta; Magnoliopsida; Poales; Poaceae.